This 520-nucleotide ribosomal RNA is filed under the name uncultured Glomus. Its description in RNAcentral is "SSU rRNA". It matches the Rfam family "Eukaryotic small subunit ribosomal RNA", at positions 569 to 1093 of the family's 1831-position model. Lineage: Eukaryota; Fungi; Glomeromycota; Glomeromycetes; Glomerales; Glomeraceae. The record is from RNAcentral.
AGCAGCCGCGGUAAUUCCAGCUCCAAUAGCGUAUAUUAAAGUUGUUGCAGUUAAAAAGCUCGUAGUUGAAUUUCGGGGUCAGUAGGCUGGUCGUGCCACAGGUACGUACUGGUCUCACUGAUUCCUCCUUCCUGAUGAACCGUAAUGCCAUUAAUUUGGUGUUGCGGGGAAACUGGACUGUUACUUUGAAAAAAUUAGAGUGUUUAAAGCAGGCUAACGCUUGAAUACAUUAGCAUGGAAUAAUGAAAUAGGACGUUCGAUCCUAUUUUGUUGGUUUCUAGGAUUGACGUAAUGAUUAAUAGGGAUAGUUGGGGGCAUUAGUAUUCAAUUGUCAGAGGUGAAAUUCUUGGAUUUAUUGAAGACUAACUACUGCGAAAGCAUUUGCCAAGGAUGUUUUCAUUAAUCAAGACGAAAGUUAGGGGAUCGAAGACGAUCAGAUACCGUCGUAGUCUUAACCAUAAACUAUGCCGACUAGGAAUCGGAUGAUGUUAUUUUUAAUGACUCAUUCGGCGCCUUACGG